Molecule: non-coding RNA, 45 nt
Filed under: Schistosoma margrebowiei
Lineage: Eukaryota; Metazoa; Platyhelminthes; Trematoda; Strigeidida; Schistosomatidae
Source: RNAcentral
AUCCAGCUGAAGAGUCCUAAAGAAGACGAGGCGUGCGUCCUGGAU